This is a long non-coding RNA of Prinia subflava (tawny-flanked prinia), 2141 nucleotides long. RefSeq lists it as uncharacterized. The record is from RefSeq and is a predicted model, not a curated record. The transcript is spliced from 11 exons. NCBI's taxonomy places the organism in Eukaryota, Metazoa, Chordata, Aves, Passeriformes, Cisticolidae.
AAUUACAUAUAUUUUUCUAUUUCAGGUUUGCUUCCCAGAAAACAAAACUAAACUAGUUUUGUGGUUGCAAAGGAGCAAGACUUCACUAGAAAAUAGGAAAAAAGCCUCAGGAAAACCACAUCUCUCAGUCAUUCAAGUCCCUUCUUUGAGAGGUUUUGCAUCACUUUCAUCUUAUUGGGGCAUAAGGAAGGAAACCCCCAAUAUCAAAGACUGGAAGAAAGAUGGGCUUGAGGUGACUGAGUUUUUCCCUUGGGAUAUGGAAUGAGGAUUGAAGUAAAAGAGCAAGCUUUACUCCUUCAGGUCCUUUGCCAAAAGGCCAUUCUGUUUGAUGAAACUGAGAGGUGGAAAAAAAGAAAAUUUGCACACAUCAACAAGUUAGAACUCCAGCAAAAAUAUCAAGGGAUUUCAUCCUUGUCUACCCUAAAGAAUAACUGCUGGGAGAAAAAAGGUGUGUGUGUGUGUGUAUAUAUACUUCCAGAAUUUAUAUUUUUAAAUAUGUAUGUACCAAUAAAUACAUAUUCAUGUUGUUGAGGAAAGAUUUUGUAACAAACCUGUUCUCUUGUUUCCAUUAUCCACUUGAGUUUCUUGUUUAGUUCCGAUGAGAAAGAGAAACUUUCUGCUGACUGGAGCUUCUGUCUUUUUAAUAGCUGGACCAACACAAUGCUUCCUUGUGAUCUUUGAUACUUGAGAGAAAGGAUAGAAAAAUACGAACUAAAAGAAGAUUAAAGAAGUCAGAAAUGCUAAAGAAGAACAGAUCAAGUAUAUGCCUUUGGCCCAAGCUUGAAUACUCUUAGGAACAGAAAGAUGAAGCAGGAAAAGGAGGAUGCAUGUGAUCUAGCAAUUACACCGAGGUGCUGCCUCAGAGCACUCAGAGAAGGUUGUUUACAUAUAUUACAAAUAAUGAACCCUUACCCUGUGUGCGGGAGCUACCAGUCAGCCUACAGCAUCUGUACCAGCCUGGAGGGAUUUCAGAACAUACCAACUCAUUUUCUUCCAGUCACAAAGCAGCCACCAAUGGAAGCUCUGGAUUCAAACUGAUGAAAGGGGUAACUGAACCAAAUGAGGGAAUGACUCCACUUUAGAGAACAGAGCAGCAGAUCGGGCUCCUCACACACCCUCCUCACACAGAGCAGAGCAGUAGAGUCUGGAAAUGAGUAGUUAAAAGUUGAUUAAGUCCUAGACAUCUACUUCACCCAGAGCCAGAGCAUUAUCGGUGCAUUCACCCAAGUCACUACAGAGCCACUCCCAGAAUGUGCAGAAUAUUUCUUCUUAGGAAACUGUAUCACUCCUGUAUCAGCCAGAUGUAUCUGUAAGGACACAACUUCUAUCUUACUUCCACAGUGUGUAAGACCCAGCAUCAGGCCAAAGGAAGAAAGUUACAUUUAUGAGACGUCAUCCUCAUGUGAGCCUACAAUCAAGUACCUCUGUAAAUAUGACUGCCAGGAUUAAAGCUAAAGGAUUGCUUCUCAGGCAGCUGCGUGAGCUGCAGAGACAACAGCUGAGAGGUGUUUACCUGUCUUGUGAUGUUCAGUGAGAAACCUGUGCAAGGUUUCCUGCAUGGCCUCUGUCAGUCUCACCAGUGAAACAGAAGAGAGGAGUGAAGAAAAUCUGCCCGUCUUGGACUCCAGUUAAUGCCCAGGAGACUGUUCCUUAUUGAGCAGUUGCAGGGUAGAAAAUGCAGGUCUUUACACUGUGUUUUUGCAAAACUUCCUAGAUGCAUCCUUUCUCAAAAAAAAAAAAAAAAAAAGAAAAAAAAAGAAAAAAAAAAAGUUUUACUAAGACCCAUCUUCACAAGCUGUACGAAGGAUAGAGCCUAAAUUGCAAAGUACUCUCUGCCUUUAAUAUCCCUUAAAAUCCCUGUGGAAUACUACACUUCCAUUACACAUUAACGCUGGCGUCGGUAGCUGGAUACACACAGAGCAACGUGCAAAAGGCAGUUACUCAGGAGUAAAGACUUCUUUCGUGGAAUUCAAUGCUAAGUCAUAAAUUGUGUUUUAGCAACUGUACUCGCGUAUUCAGAUUUCCGCAGAAACGGGAGCGGGCCUGAGCGCACAGUGCCCGUGUGCCCCUCACGGAGCCCGUGUAUCCUGCACAGAGCCCCUGUGCCCCUCACAGUGCCCCUGUGCCCCUCACAGUGCCCC